Molecule: ribosomal RNA, 393 nt
Filed under: uncultured bacterium
Lineage: Bacteria
Description: partial 16S ribosomal RNA
Rfam family: Bacterial small subunit ribosomal RNA
Source: RNAcentral
AUACGGAAGGUCCGGGCGUUAUCCGGAUUUAUUGGGUUUAAAGGGUGCGCAGGCGGAAGAUUAAGUCGGCGGUGAAAUUUUGCAGCUCAACUGUAAAAGUGCCAUCGAUACUGGUUUUCUUGAGUGUGGAUGAAGUAGGCGGAAUUUGUGGUGUAGCGGUGAAAUGCAUAGAUAUCACGAGGAACUCCGAUUGCGCAGGCAGCUUACUAGGCCAUAACUGACGCUCAGGCACGAAGGCGUGGGGAUCAAACAGGAUUAGAUACCCUGGUAGUCCACGCAGUAAACGAUGAUUACUCGCUGUUUGCGAUACACAGUAAGCGGCUUAGCGAAAGCGUUAAGUAAUCCACCUGGGGAGUACGUUCGCAAGAAUGAAACUCAAAGGAAUUGACGGGG